GACGGAGGGUGCAAGCGUUAUUCGGAAUUAUUGGGCGUAAAGAGUGUGUAGGCGGCCGGUUAAGUCAGGCGUGAAAGCCCAGGGCUCAACCCUGGAAGUGCGUUUGAUACUGGUCGGCUUGAGUUCGGGAGAGGGAAGCGGAAUUCCGGGUGUAGAGGUGAAAUUCGUAGAUAUCCGGAGGAACAUCGGUGGCGAAGGCGGCUUCCUGGACCGAAACUGACGCUGAGACACGAAAGCGUGGGGAGCAAACAGG
Molecule: ribosomal RNA, 253 nt
Filed under: uncultured bacterium
Lineage: Bacteria
Description: partial 16S ribosomal RNA
Rfam family: Bacterial small subunit ribosomal RNA
Source: RNAcentral